This 626-nucleotide long non-coding RNA is filed under the name Sus scrofa (pig). Its description in RNAcentral is "lncRNA (ENSSSCG00030046254.1)". Lineage: Eukaryota; Metazoa; Chordata; Mammalia; Artiodactyla; Suidae. The record is from RNAcentral.
GCAGCCGCCGGCGCCAAUGUUCUUACCUGCACCCCUCCGGCGCCUGGGGCUUCGUCGGGCCCAAAGUCUGAGACAGAUUAGAGGCGAUGGCCAUAACCCAGAAGUCGUUUACAUCGAGCUGUGGAUGUUACCCGCGUUGUUUGGCGGGGAAGGCGAACUGCUGGCGGCCUUCCACGAGUGGUUCGGGGUAUUACUCGUUAUCAGUGCAGUCCCAGGAUGCGGAGUCUUGAUCUUCAUCACUGGACGGCCCUUUUACCAAUAUCUUACGAUGCUCCUCAUUGUGGCCAUGUCUUUCCAGCUUCUGAUCCGCCGAAAUCGAGCCAGAGCUCGGACCAGAAGGCUGCUAAAUCCUGCGCUGGCUGGGGGACGCUCUGUUUAAGGUUGGAGCCGGUCCGGAAUCCCUUAUCCAGAUGACUGACUGCGGGCCGGGGAUGACACUGUUUGCUGGAGUGCUGACCUGGGGGUCAGGAGGCUAAGGCCCCAUCCACUGUGGUUUGUGCCGUGAAAGAUGUGGAGGAGAACGGGUGUGGGGGCAGCUGUUCUUAAUUUUGUCACGUUCAAGUGAUUGCAAGCUUGACCUUUUAAGGAAAGUUUCACUGGUUUUAUAAUAAAUGAUCUUCAUUGGU